GUAAAAUAUUUAUAGGUUACAGAUGGGCAUGCGUGACAUUAGUUAGUUGGUGAGGUAACGGCUCACCAAGACUGCGAUGUCUAGGGGUUCUGAGAGGAAGGUCCCCCACACUGGAACUGAGACACGGUCCAGACUCCUACGGGAGGCAGCAGUGAGGAAUAUUGGUCAAUGGACGCAAGUCUGAACCAGCCAUGUCGCGUGCAGGAUGACUGCCCUAUGGGUUGUAAACUGCUUUUAUAUUGGAAGAAUUGCGCUUACGAGUUAAGCGUUUGACGGUACAUUAUGAAUAAGGAUCGGCUAACUCCGUGCCAGCAGCCGCGGUAAUACGGAGGAUCCGAGCGUUAUCCGGAUUUAUUGGGUUUAAAGGGUGCGUAGGCGGAAAUGUAAGUCAGUGGUGAAAUCCUGCAGCUUAACUGUAGAAUAGCCGUUGAAACUGUGUUUCUUGAGUACAUUUGAGGUAGGCGGAAUGUGGUGUGUAGCGGUGAAAUGCAUAGAUAUACCACAGAACACCGAUUGCGAAGGCAGCUUACUAAACUGUCACUGACGCUGAUGCACGAAAGCGUGGGUAUCAAACAGGAUUAGAUACCCUGGUAGUCCACGCUGUAAACGAUGAUUACUGGUUGUUUGCGAUACACUGCAAGUGACUGAGCGAAAGCAUUAAGUAAUCCACCUGGGGAGUACGUCGGCAACGAUGAAACUCAAAGGAAUUGACGGGGGCCCGCACAAGCGGAGGAACAUGUGGUUUAAUUCGAUGAUACGCGAGGAACCUUACCUGGGUUUAAAUGGGGAGUGACAGGCUUGGAAACAGGCUCUUCUUCGGACACUCUUCAAGGUGCUGCAUGGUUGUCGUCAGCUCGUGCCGUGAGGUGUCGGGUUAAGUCCCAUAACGAGCGCAACCCCUAUCGAUAGUUACCAGCACGUUACGGGGGGACUCUAUCGAGACUGCCGGUGUAAACCGUGAGGAGGGUGGGGAUGACGUCAAAUCAGCACGGCCCUUACAUCCAGGGCUACACACGUGUUACAAUGGCCGGUACAAAGGGCAGCUACACAGCGAUGUGAUGCUAAUCUCCAAAUCCGGUCUCAGUUCGGAUCGAAGUCUGCAACCCGACUUCGUGAAGCUGGAUUCGCUAGUAAUCGCGCAUCAGCCAUGGCGCGGUGAAUACGUUCCCGGGCCUUGCACACACCGCCCGUCAAG
This 1195-nucleotide ribosomal RNA is filed under the name uncultured bacterium. RNAcentral's name for it is "bacterial SSU rRNA". It matches the Rfam family "Bacterial small subunit ribosomal RNA", at positions 200 to 1401 of the family's 1533-position model. The record is from RNAcentral.